GUCCUUUUGUUUAUUUUAUUUAAGGUCUGACCUGCCCAAUGAGGAAUUGAAUGGCCGCAGUAUUUUAACUGUGCUAAGGUAGCAUAAUCAUUUGUCUUUUAAUUGAGGGCUGGAAUGAAGGGUUGGACGAGGUAUUAACUUUCUUUGAUUUAAUGAGGAGAAUUUAAUUUUUGAGUUAAAAAGCUUAAAUUUAUUUGUGGGACGAGAAGACCCUAUAGAUCUUUAUAGUUUUAUAUUUUAAUAAUUUGGUGAUUUAUUUGUUUUAAGUAGAUGAACUAUUUUGUUGGGGUGACUGUAGAAUUUAAAUAACUUCUAUUAUUUUAUUUCAUUAAUUAAUGUUUUUGUGAUCCAUAUUUUAUGAUUAUAAGAUUAAGUUACCUUAGGGAUAACAGCGUAAUUUCCUYGGAGAGUUCAUAUUGAUGGGGGAGUUUGCGACCUCGAUGUUGGAUUAAAAUAAGUUAUGGAUGCAGGAGUCUAUUUACUAGGUCUGUUCGACCUUUAAAUUUUU
Molecule: ribosomal RNA, 508 nt
Filed under: Triatoma infestans
Lineage: Eukaryota; Metazoa; Arthropoda; Insecta; Hemiptera; Reduviidae
Description: partial 16S ribosomal RNA
Rfam family: Bacterial large subunit ribosomal RNA
Source: RNAcentral